Non-coding RNA from Desmophyllum pertusum, 114 nucleotides. The record is from the annotation of a GenBank genome assembly. NCBI's taxonomy places the organism in Eukaryota, Metazoa, Cnidaria, Anthozoa, Scleractinia, Caryophylliidae.
UCUCCUGUAGCUCAGUGGUAGAACAUCCGACCGGUGUGCAGAAAGUCAUAUUAUAAUUAUAUAUUGCUUUUAUAAUUAUUAUAUAGGUCAUACGUUCGACUCCUGUUGGGGGAA